AGCGCAUUUCUUCAGGGCGGAGCUCGACCGCCAGAACAAGUAGCCACGUUCAUCGACGCCAACCGCGAGGACGUGGUGGAAGGCCGCCGAUUGGGGGUCGAGCUCAUCUGCAGCGUGCUGCAGGUGCCCCCC
Molecule: non-coding RNA, 132 nt
Organism: Micrococcales bacterium 73-15
Lineage: Bacteria; Bacillati; Actinomycetota; Actinomycetes; Micrococcales
Source: Rfam